AAACAUUUUAAAUUUUUGAAAUUCUAAGGCUUUUCUACCUCAGGAAUAGAUUACCUUAGCUGUAUUUGGCAAAACUUUUAGGAAUUUUGCACCGCAAUGCUCCUCAACUUCGUACUUUAUUUGACCUUUUUAUCUAUUUGGAUUUGAGCGUCACUGAUAAGUCUUUUGUAGACGAAACCUGCGUCUGGCGGAAAUACAAAAUUUAAUCCUGGUUUCUAUUAUGAGCUUAUAUAUAAUGAUUAGCUUUCUACAUCAAAUAUACAAAAUAUGUAUUCAAACUAUAUUUCUUCCUUUAUAUAGGUUUAAUAUUUUAAGGCAUUCGCUUGGGGAAACAGAUGAAAGCAAAACAAGAAGUACAAUAUAAAAAAGAAGAUGUGGUAUGAUUGCCAAUGAGACAACUAUCCACAAAAGACCAAAAUGACACAGACAUUAACAACUAUAGGUCACUGUAUGGCCUUCAACAAGGAGCAAAGCCCAUACCGCAUAGUCAGCUAUAAAAAGUCAUUCAGUUGUUGCCUAUUAGAACUGAUUUUAACAACUAAAACUGAGAAAUUACACAAUUUUGUUAGUUUGCUUCUGCA
This 581-nucleotide long non-coding RNA is filed under the name Mytilus galloprovincialis (Mediterranean mussel). Lineage: Eukaryota; Metazoa; Mollusca; Bivalvia; Mytilida; Mytilidae. The record is from RNAcentral.